Molecule: non-coding RNA, 27 nt
Filed under: Mus musculus (house mouse)
Lineage: Eukaryota; Metazoa; Chordata; Mammalia; Rodentia; Muridae
Source: RNAcentral
UCCAGAAAUCCAGUGGUGAUUCAGCGG